This 964-nucleotide ribosomal RNA is filed under the name Staphylococcus aureus. Its description in RNAcentral is "bacterial SSU rRNA". It matches the Rfam family "Bacterial small subunit ribosomal RNA", at positions 100 to 1046 of the family's 1533-position model. Lineage: Bacteria; Bacillati; Bacillota; Bacilli; Caryophanales; Staphylococcaceae. The record is from RNAcentral.
AUGUCUGUAUGUCAGGAUAACCUACCUAUAAGACUGGGAUAACUUCGGGAAACCGGAGCUAAUACCGGAUUAUUUUGAACCGCAUGGUUCAAAAGUGAAAGACGGUCUUGCUGUCACUUAUAGAUGGAUCCGCGCUGCAUUAGCUAGUAAGGUAACGGCUUCAAGGCAACGAUGCAUAGCCGACCUGAGAGGGUGAUCGGCCACACUGGAACUGAGACACGGUCCAGACUCCUACGGGAGGCAGCAGUAGGGAAUCUUCCGCAAUGGAGUCGCGAAAGCCUGACGGAGCAACGCCGCGUGAGUGAUGAAGGUCUUCGGAUCGUAAAACUCUGUUAUUAGGGAAGAACAUAUGUGUAAGUAACUGUGCACAUCUUGACGGUACCUAAUCAGAAAGCCACGGCUAACUACGUGCCAGCAGCCGCGGUAAUACGUAGGUGGCAAGCGUUAUGUAUACGUUAUUGGGCGUAAAGCGCGCGUAGGCGGUUUUUUAAGUCUGAUGAAAGCCCACGGCUCAACCGUGGAGGGUCAUUGGAAACUGGAAAACUUGAGUGCAGAAGAGGAAAGUGGAAUUCCAUGUGUAGCGGUGAAAUGCGCAGAGAUAUGGAGGAACACCAGUGGCGAAGGCGACUUUCUGGUCUGUAACUGACGCUGAUGUGCGGUAUAUUUAAAGCGUGGGGAUCAAACAGGAUUAGAUACCCUGGUAGUCCACGCCGUAAGUGUACGAUGAGUGCUAAGUGUUAGGGGGUUUCCGCCCCUUAGUGCUGCAGCUAACGCAUUAAGCACUCCGCCUGGAGUACGACCGCAAGGUUGAAACUCAAAGGAAUUGACGGGGACCCGCACAAGCGGUGGAGCAUGUGGUUUUUCGAAGCAACGCGAAGAGUAUACCUUACCAAAUCUUGACAUCCUUUGACAACUCUAGAGAUAGAGCUUCGGGGGAGUACAUCAAAGUAGUCUAGUCAUGCUA